GCCGCGUGAGUGAUGAAGGCUCUUCGGGUCUGUAAAACUCUGUUGUUAGGGAAGAACAAGUGCUAGUUGAAUAAGCUGGCACCUUGACGGUACCUAACCAGAAAGCCACGGCUAACUACGUGCCAGCAGCCGCGGUAAUACGUAGGUGGCAAGCGUUAUCCGGAAUUAUUGGGCGUAAAGCGCGCGCAGGUGGUUUCUUAAGUCUGAUGUGAAAGCCCACGGCUCAACCGUGGAGGGUCAUUGGAAACUGGGAGACUUGAGUGCAGAAGAGGAAAGUGGAAUUCCAUGUGUAGCGGUGAAAUGCGUAAAGAUAUGGAGGAACACCAGUGGCGAAGGCGACUUUCUGGUCUGUAACUGACACUGAGGCGCGAAAGCGUGGGGAGCAAACAGGAUUAGAUACCCUGGUAGA
Molecule: ribosomal RNA, 409 nt
Filed under: uncultured bacterium
Lineage: Bacteria
Description: bacterial SSU rRNA
Rfam family: Bacterial small subunit ribosomal RNA
Source: RNAcentral